Long non-coding RNA from Numida meleagris (helmeted guineafowl), 1632 nucleotides. The record is from Ensembl. Lineage: Eukaryota; Metazoa; Chordata; Aves; Galliformes; Numididae.
CAUUUAUACUUUCCUGUCUGUCUUGUCUGACCAAUGUCAUUAUGGUGCUUUGGUGGUCCCUCCUUCAGGGUAUUUCUGCAGUGGGACUGGACUUCUGUCUCCAACUGGAUUAUGUGAAGGUGGAUUCUACUGCAGUGGAGGAGCUGUUUCUCCUAACCCUCCCAGGACAACAGUCAGUGGAGGACCGUGUCCACCUGGACAUUACUGUGUGGUGGGGAGCAGCAGAGCCCAGCCUUGCCCUGCAGGGAGUUACAGCCCAUCCUGGAGUAUGGCACAGUGUUUGGAGUGCCCAGAAGGUUUUUACUGCGAGGCUGCUUCCACAAACUACACAGAUUGCCCUGCAGGUGGGUCUCAUUGUACCUACUCACUCGUUCUGGGAACUUUUCAGGAUUAGCUGAUGCUCUUAUAGCUGUUUGGAGUAGAUUCAACAUUGGACUGUGUUGCAUGAGUCACCAAUCUCUUCUGCUGGACCUUGGUCAAAGCACUUAACCUCUUUGUGAUUCAGUUCCCCUGUCUGAAUAGACAGUAACUAUGGAGACUUUUAGAACAUACUUCAAGACUUAUUAAAAAACUGAUUGCUGUUAAAAGUAUUGCUAAUCCUCAACACCCGUCAGCUCCAUUUUAUGCUGCUAAUGUGACAGAGAUGUCUUCCAGUCGUGACAAAUGGGCCCACUGUCAUAGCUUGGCUCCAGUCUUCCUCAGAAACAGAUGAAGAGAAUUGUGUGUGUACAAGUUGGGAGGUUCUUCUCUGGUUAUCACCAGCACGUGCUGAUCUUUUUGAAACCUGUCUUUUCUCUCCUAGGUCACUACUGCCCCAGGAAUACCAAAUUUGCCACUCAGUAUCCUUGUCCUCCUGGAACGUACAGUGAAGCUUUAAAUAUCUGGGAUGCUUCCAAGUGCCAGCUGUGUCCUCCUGGAAGGGUCUGUUCCAAGCCAGGCCUAGCAAGACCAGAUGGACUGUGUAUGCCUGGAUGGUUUUGUCCACCUGGAUCUGUGUCAAGCAAGCCAAUGUUUCCUGGAAAUCACUCAGUGGACGUGGCAGCUCCAGCUUCUGGAUCUUUUGGACGGUGCCAGGCAGGAACCUUUUGUCCUGCUGGAUCAUUUCUUCCUAUUCCCUGCACUCCAGGUUUGUACUGUGCAACUGCAGAGCUAUCAGCUCCAUCAGGUCCCUGUGAGGCUGGCUUCUACUGCACAGGGGGCUCCAUGCUCCCAAACCCCAUGGAUGGAGCGGUGGGGAACAUUUGUCCUCGAGGCCACUUCUGUCCUGCAGGGAGUUCUUCUCCAUCUCCGUGUCCCCGAGGUAGGUUUGACAGCAGCUGCUGCGUGCCAUCAUUUCUCUUACCAGUGCCUAGUGAGCUGCUGAGCUCAUCUGAGUCUGUGCCAUUGUUUUGCAGCCCCUUGUUAUUUUGCACUGAAGCAUGCCUUUACAUUCCCCGAGGGGCAGCUGCUGUCAGCAUGGAAUCUUAGCUGCUAAUCUGCUGCUGUUGUAUCGGAAGCAUCAGUCCUAAAUUCAGACAGUAAUUGCACAACUGCCUCUGGAGCCUCAGUCUGUGGCAUACAUGCUGCUGUGCAGCUGUCGGGAGGAAGCUCUUUGCUGAGCCUUCCUGAAGGAAAGGUCACACAGCAGUGGUG